This 406-nucleotide ribosomal RNA is filed under the name uncultured bacterium. Its description in RNAcentral is "partial 16S ribosomal RNA". It matches the Rfam family "Bacterial small subunit ribosomal RNA", at positions 30 to 526 of the family's 1533-position model. The record is from RNAcentral.
AUUGAACGCUGGCGGCAGGCUUAACACAUGCAAGUCGAGCGAGCGGCGGACGGGUGAGUAAUGUCUGGGAAACUGCCUGAUGGCGGGGGCUAACUACUGGAAACGGUAGCUACUACCGCAUACCAUCAGAUGUGCCCAGAUGGGAUUAGCUAGUAGGUGGGGUAAUGGCUAACCAAGGCGACGAUCCCUAGCUGGUCUGAGAGGAUGACCAGCCACACGGGGACUGAGACACGGGCCAGACUCCUACGGGAGGCAGCAGUGGGGAAUAUUGGACAAUGGGCGCAAGCCUGAUGCAGCCAUGCCGCGUGUAUGAAGAAGGUCUUCGGGUUGUAAAGUACUGUCAGCGGGGAGGCGUUACCCACAGAGGAAGCACCGGCUAACUCCGUGCCAGCAGCCGCGGUAAUAC